Molecule: RNA transcript, 683 nt
Organism: Fragaria vesca subsp. vesca
Lineage: Eukaryota; Viridiplantae; Streptophyta; Magnoliopsida; Rosales; Rosaceae
Exons: 4
Source: RefSeq, a predicted model, not a curated record
GGGGGCACAAGUGCCUAACUAGUAACUACCCAUUUGCUUGCUUAUAGCUCCGAGUCCGCACUCCAAAACCCGAAGCCCGCUUUUCGUUGGCUCUCCCCGGAACUUGGCUUACUCUGGUCUGGAGCUCUUGAAUAUGAAGUUUCUUGAUUGGUAUUUGAAGAUCGCAUUUGGGUCGGCUCUGAUUGGAGCUUCCAUGGAGUUCUUCAUGAUUAAAACCGGCUUCUAUGAUAAAGUAACAGUUCUGGAGUCUGAAAAACGGGCUUGGGAGAGUUCACCAGAGGCUCAGGCGGUCAGAGAAGCUCUCAAUCCUUGGAGAAAUCAUGAUGUAGAAGCAAAGAAAGAAUCCUAAGUUAGAUGGGCUUGUUCUCAAAAAGGAAGAAGAUUACUCACGCAGGAUAGUUUUUGAGACAUACUUCCAAAGUAGGACAAGUGGGAGGUGGCCUUGAUCAUCCUAAACAAUUGUUUCAUUCCAUUUGAAGUUUUGUAAUUUCUAUUAUUCUUGUCAUGGGAAAAACACAGUUUUUCAAUAUAUUGUUUUGAAUACAGAAGGUCGAUCCUCAGUGCAGUGUUCAUGGAAGAAAACACAUUCCCGUAACUUGGGUUUUAAUGAUUUUUUGUAUCAUAUAUCCCUGUUGUAGAACACUGAUCUAUCUGAGAAACUAGAAAUUUUAUAUUUACCCGCC